UGGGGAAUAUUGGACAAUGGCCCAAAAGUCUGAUCCAGCAAUUCUGUGUGUUUGAUGAAGGCCUUCGGGUUGUAAAGAACUUUAAGUAGGGAAGAAGAAAGUGACGGUACCUACAGAAUAAGCGACGGCUAAAUACGUGCCAGCAGCCGCGGUAAUACAGAGGGUGCGAGCGUUAAUCGGAUUUACUGGGCGUAAAGCGUGCGUAGGCGGCUGAUUAAGUCGGAUGUGAAAUCCCCGAGCUCAACUUGGGAAUUGCGUUUGGAACUGUCUAGCUAGAGUUUGGCACAGGGGGGUAGAAUUCCACGUGUAGCAGUGAAAUGCGUAGAGAUGUGGAGGAAUACCGAUGGCGAAGGCAGCCCCCUGGGCUAAAACUGACGCUCAUGCACGAAAGCGUGGGGAG
RNAcentral lists this ribosomal RNA (400 nucleotides) under uncultured bacterium. RNAcentral describes it as "bacterial SSU rRNA". It matches the Rfam family "Bacterial small subunit ribosomal RNA", at positions 355 to 768 of the family's 1533-position model. The record is from RNAcentral.